Molecule: ribosomal RNA, 613 nt
Filed under: Micrococcaceae bacterium Se2Ps_2272
Lineage: Bacteria; Bacillati; Actinomycetota; Actinomycetes; Micrococcales; Micrococcaceae
Description: bacterial SSU rRNA
Rfam family: Bacterial small subunit ribosomal RNA
Source: RNAcentral
CGCCGCGUGAGGGAUGACGGCCUUCGGGUUGUAAACCUCUUUCAGUAGGGAAGAAGCGAAUGUGACGGUACCUGCAGAAUAAGCGCCGGCUAACUACGUGCCAGCAGCCGCGGUAAUACGUAGGGCGCAAGCGUUAUCCGGAAUUAUUGGGCGUAAAGAGCUCGUACGCGGUUUGUCGCGUCUGCCGUGAAAGUCCGGGGCUCGACUCCGGAUCUGCGGUGGGUACGGGGGGACUAGAGUGAUGUAGGGGAGACUGGAAUUCCUGGUGUAGCGAUGAAAUGCGCAGAUUUCAAGAGGAACGCCGAUAGCUGAAGGCAGGUCUCUGGGCAUUAACUGACUCUCAGGAGCGAAAGCAUGGGGAGCGAACAGGAUUAGAUACCCUGGUAGUCCAUGCCGUAAACGUUGGGCACUAGGUGUGGGGGACAUUCCACGUUUUCCGCGCCGUAGCUUCGCAUUAAGUGCCCCGCCUGGGGAGUACGGCCGCAAGGCUAAAACUCACAGGAAUUGACGGGGGCCCGCACAAGCGGCGGAGCAUGCGAAUUAGUUCAAUGCAUCGCUUAGAACCUUACCAAGGCUUGACAUGAACCGGAUACUCCUGGAAACAAGUGCCCCG